UUACGGCUAUAUCACGUUGAAACACCGGUUCUCUUACGAUCACCGAAGUUAAGCAUCGUCGAGGCUGAUUAGUACCUAGAUGGGUGACUUGCGGAUACCAGAUGCUGUAA
This is a non-coding RNA of Acanthosepion pharaonis, 110 nucleotides long. The record is from the annotation of a GenBank genome assembly. NCBI's taxonomy places the organism in Eukaryota, Metazoa, Mollusca, Cephalopoda, Sepiida, Sepiidae.